UACGUAGGUGGCAAGCGUUGUCCGGAAUUACUGGGUGUAAAGGGCGUGUAGGCGGGAAUGUAAGUCAGAUGUGAAAUUCCGAGGCUCAACCUCGGCGCUGCAUCUGAAACUAUGUUUCUUGAGUGCUGGAGAGGAAAGCGGAAUUCCUAGUGUAGCGGUGAAAUGCGUAGAUAUUAGGAGGAACACCAGUGGCGAAGGCGGCUUUCUGGACAGUAACUGACGCUGAGGCGCGAAAGCGUGGGGAGCAAAC
This 250-nucleotide ribosomal RNA is filed under the name uncultured bacterium. RNAcentral describes it as "partial 16S ribosomal RNA". It matches the Rfam family "Bacterial small subunit ribosomal RNA", at positions 524 to 773 of the family's 1533-position model. The record is from RNAcentral.